GCUUAUCACCAUUCCAGAUUGAAUAGACCCGAUCUCGUCUGAUCUCGGAAGUCAAGCAAUCUCGGGCUUGGUUAGUACUUGGAUGGGUGACCGCUUGGGAAUAUCAAGUGUGAUAAGCA
Non-coding RNA from Ciona savignyi (Pacific transparent sea squirt), 119 nucleotides. The record is from Rfam. Lineage: Eukaryota; Metazoa; Chordata; Ascidiacea; Phlebobranchia; Cionidae.